CCUACGGGUGGCAGCAGUGGGGGAUAUUGCACAAUGGGGGAAACCCUGAUGCAGCGACGCCGCGUGGGUGAAGAAGCGCCUCGGCGCGUAAAGCCCUGUCAGCAGGGAAGAAAAUGACGGUACCUGAAGAAGAAGCCCCGGCUAACUACGUGCCAGCAGCCGCGGUAAUACGUAGGGGGCAAGCGUUAUCCGGAUUUACUGGGAGUAAAGGGGGCGCAGACGGCGCUGCAAGCCAGGAGUGAAAGCCCGGGGCCCAACCCCGGGACUGCAGUUGGAACUGCGUGGCUAGAGUGCAGGAGGGGCAGGCGGAAUUCCUGGUGUAGCGGUGAAAUGCGUAGAUAUCAGGAGGAACACCGGUGGCGAAGGCGGCCUGCUGGACUGCAACUGACGUUGAGGCCCGAAAGCGUGGGGAGCAAACAGGAUUAGAUACCCUAGUAGUC
RNAcentral lists this ribosomal RNA (440 nucleotides) under uncultured bacterium. Its description in RNAcentral is "partial 16S ribosomal RNA". It matches the Rfam family "Bacterial small subunit ribosomal RNA", at positions 338 to 795 of the family's 1533-position model. The record is from RNAcentral.